This 702-nucleotide long non-coding RNA is filed under the name Mus caroli (Ryukyu mouse). RNAcentral's name for it is "predicted gene 43608 (MGP_CAROLIEiJ_G0005719.1)". Lineage: Eukaryota; Metazoa; Chordata; Mammalia; Rodentia; Muridae. The record is from RNAcentral.
AGGCUGGAUAUUGAGAGGGAGGGAACAGCCAGGAGGGCAUUCUUCCCCACCCUCAGCCCUCACUCUGGACCACCCUGAGCCAUAUCUGGUUCACAGGAUCUGUUCUCCAUGCCUCCAACUACAAGAAAUGACCUGAAGUGCCUGCUGACCUAGGAUGUUGUAAGAGAUAGCUCAGUGGUUAAGAGCACUCUUUGUUCUUCCAGAGGAUAAGGGUUCAGUUUCCAGCCACCAUGGCAGUUAACAACUGUUCGCAACUGCAGUUCCAGAGGGUCUGAUAGCCUCUUCUGUCCCCCAAAGCACUUUAUGUGCACAGUACACAGACAUGCAUGCAAGCAAAACACCCAUUCAUGUCACAUAAAAAUACAAGAAGUAUAGAAGGAGGAUGAAGAGGAGGAGGAAGAAGAGGAGGAAGAAGAGGAGGAGGAAGAAGAAAAGAAGAGAAAGAGAAGCAGCUCUUUUGAAUUCUGACUAUCAGGACAAAAUAAAACACUAUAGACUUAGAUUUUUGCACAUCUGUCUACCAUGUAUUAGAACUAAGAAAAGCCGGCCAGCGAGAUGUCACAGUGUGCCAAACCUGAUGGCCUGAGUUCUAUCUUGAGGGCCCCCAUAGUCGAAGAGAACUGAUUCCUGCAAGAUCUCCCCUGACUUUCACACAUUCUUCAGUGGUACAUAUAUCCCUCCAAUAAAUGUAAUUUAAAACAU